CAUAAUAAGCAAUGGCCAACAGCACCGGCGGUGGCAGCGGAGAGCACCACGUCUGGAUACCAGCUCACGGCGUCGGCAGGCAAGGCCGCCGCUGCGCCGGAGAUGUGGCUGAAUCGCUUCGUUCGCUCUGUCACGCUAAUCGAGAGGGUUGGCAACGCCUUGGGCACGCUGGCCUUCACGUGGGCCACCGUCGUCCUGCUCGGAGGCUACUCCAAGGACCUCGGAUCCUAUGUUGAUUUUUGGUAUGCGACAAUGAUAGUAUUCCUCGAAGCUACAAGGUAUGACAAAGCAAUUUUGUAA
Molecule: ribosomal RNA, 300 nt
Filed under: Triticum aestivum (bread wheat)
Lineage: Eukaryota; Viridiplantae; Streptophyta; Magnoliopsida; Poales; Poaceae
Description: partial small subunit ribosomal RNA
Source: RNAcentral